UGAGGAAUAUUGGUCAAUGGGCGCGAGCCUGAACCAGCCAAGUCGCGUGAGGGAUGAAGGAUCUAUGGUUCGUAAACCUCUUUUAUAAGGGAAUAAAGUGCGGGACGUGUCCUGUUUUGUAUGUACCUUAUGAAUAAGGAUCGGCUAACUCCGUGCCAGCAGCCGCGGUAAUACGGAGGAUCCGAGCGUUAUCCGGAUUUAUUGGGUUUAAAGGGUGCGUAGGCGGCCUUUUAAGUCAGCGGUGAAAGUCUGUGGCUCAACCAUAGAAUUGCCGUUGAAACUGGGGGGCUUGAGUAUGUUUGAGGCAGGCGGAAUGCGUGGUGUAGCGGUGAAAUGCAUAGAUAUCACGCAGAACCCCGAUUGCGAAGGCAGCCUGCCAAGCCAUGACUGACGCUGAUGCACGAAAGCGUGGGGAUCGAACAGG
Molecule: ribosomal RNA, 424 nt
Filed under: uncultured bacterium
Lineage: Bacteria
Description: bacterial SSU rRNA
Rfam family: Bacterial small subunit ribosomal RNA
Source: RNAcentral